AUGGUUCAGUCUGGACUCCCUGUUCAAACUGGAGGAGUCAGCUUACAUGCAUCAGAAAAGCAUAGUGAACAAUCUCUACUAAACAACAACUUGAUUGAGGAUAAGUGUAACCUUCGCUGCGCUGAUGAGAAGUCCUAUUGCCUGUACCAUAAGUUUCCAGCCAAAGUUAACAACAAUGUAUACCCGGAAAAAGGAACCACGAGACCCCCUAGGUACCCUGAUCAGCUUAAUCUUCUUAAUGGCGAAGAGAGGAUGAGGAUGAUGGCUGUAUCUACACAUAUAAAGGGGAAAACUUUGAGGCCAACCUCUCACACCUUAUUGACAUGUGCCUCAGUUGUGGGUUGCCUAACACGGAGCGUAGUGUUGACGGUCAGGAACUGUUGAAUGGUGUCCGCAGGCCUGACCCGCCUGAGCAGAAUAAUCUGUUCUCACCAGAAAUGGAUUUUUUAGAAAUGGACUUUGACCCUGGACCAAAUGGGAUGUGUGAUAGUAGGUUAGUUAGGGAAAAUGCUGCUGCCUUUAGUGUUGCCGGUGCUUUGAAUCCUAUAAGUGUUUUAGACAGAAAAGCAAAUAAUUAUUGUCCUGAAAUGAGGAACCUUAUGUGUAAACGGUGUGAAUCUAGUAUACGUGAUGGUAAAAUUGACAAUGUGGCCUUGAAUCUGAGUGUGCAUGAAAACUCUUAUGUUACUUUUGGUAGAGGCCCAAGUGCUGGCUUAGACGAUAGACCAGCAGUUGGGAGCAGUGUCCUCAAUGUGCCAAGAGAUGCAAUGAAUGUCCCCAAAGACCUAAAUGUAGAAUUAAAUCAGUUCAGUGAGGCAGGAAGUUGUCCAGAAAACCGAGCUGCGGCUCCACAACAGGAAGAAGAGUAUGAUCCUCCUGAUAAUGACAGUGUGGAGAACAACUUAGGAAUGGGUGACAUGGACAUGAUUGAUGAAGAUUUUGGCGAUGAAGCAGAUGAUGAAGAUGGUGAUGACAGCAAUUCUGAAAGAUACGAAUCAUCAGUAAGGUACCCCCAUGCUAACGGUAGCAGCACGGAAACGGCACUAAAGGAUGGCGAAGAUCCUUCAGUGAUCCAUAGUAGCUCAAGCAAAAGGCACCAGCAAGACCACCAACAAGUCGGGCAAGGGUCCAACAACAACUUGGGAUCUGUCUCUGCACCUGAGGUAAGCCCAGCCAAAGAGUACAGCCUCCUUGAAAAGUUUGGUCGCAGUGUCAGCUUCCACAAUCAGCUGUCCAGCCCUAAGUAUGAGAAUGUAUGUUUCUCUCACCGACCAAAGAAUGAAGAACGACAGUGUGAGCAACAGGCAGAGAGGAAUGGUGCACCACAAGCUGAGACAGCGAAUCUAGAAGCGUGUGUUGGGAGAUUACAUCGCAGAGAAAAUUCUGUCUUCAACAUCCUUUCAGAUCCAAGUGGAAAGGCAUCACAGAGUAUCAAGCUAGGUUGCGAUGGGUCUGUGUCCAGUGUCCAUGCUGAGAGCAGUAUAGGCUCCUCUAUCAAACGCUCAAGCCCUGCUCAGGGAGGCCAGGCGGCGUCGCCAACUAGUGGAAGUUACACAGCUGGCACCUCUCCAUCACCUUCAGUUGGUACCUCGAUGCUGGUAGGUCCUGGAGGAGUCUCCACUUGUUCCGUGGGAACUGGUGGGUCACCCUGCCCACUGCCUGUCAAGUCACUGCAGCCCAAGAACAGGAACCCCUCGCAGGAUCCAACACGGCAAGUGAAGGUGAGGGAGGUGGUGAAGAGAGCUGCCCUAGAGUGAAGAAGGUCAUGAUCUGGACAGAGCUCCAAGCAUCAGCACGGCAUGUCUCACAGAUUGCUCCCUCUGCCUGUGGUGCCACGGCAAUCAUCAAUGUUUUGCUUGCCUUAGACUACCCCUGUACAGUGGAGGAAGUGCAGGCGAGUAUCAAAACCAGGUUACGAGCAGAGACUGCGCCGGUCGUAGACUACCUGCUCUCCCGCUCUGUAGCUGGUACUACUCACAGGGAUCUUAUUGAUGGAGUGACCAAGCUGUCAAAGGGCACUGUGAAGGCCAAGUUCUUCCAUAUGUUUCCUAAAAGGGCUGUGCAGCUGUCUAGGUGGUUAGCCCAGUGGAUAAGCAGGGGUGGAGUGCCUUUGGCCACGUUAAAUUUGCAAGUGGGUGUUGCUCCAGGCCAGACAGUACCCGAUGCCUGGCACCAUCAGAUGAUAUUUGGUGUUGGUCCUCAGGGUAUCUACCUCACCAACCCAUUAGAAUGUGUCUCUGAUUCCCUACUUGGAGACCAGCUCUGCACAGACUCUGUGUUGUUGGUUCGCAGGGCUGACGUUGUAAAUAGAUGGGGCCAAGGUGAUAAGCUCAUCAGAUUGACCCAACAGCCUGACCCAAGAUGGAGAGAGAUGAAUGUUCUAGGUCAAGUAGUAGGUGUGUUAAAAGAACAAGCUGCACCUCCUGUGGUUCAAGGUCGUCGGCACUUGACUUCUCAUGUUGCCAUUCCAGCAGCAUACCAGUCUGGGGUCACCAUAUUUAUGCGUUCUGACAACCCUCAUAUUCACACCCUUACACAAGCAGAAGAGUUGCCAUUACUGGAGUAGCAAUGUUUUCUGUAUCAUGAUUAUAGCAAAGUUUUGCAGAUCCAACAGUCAAGUCUUUGUUUACAGAAAGAAUACUUCGGUAUAUUUGCUGGUGAGGGUGCAUCCCCCUCUUUCCUUUCCUUGUUAAUAGUUCUCACACUUCCUUAUAUGGUACAGAAGAGUGAGCUCUCCUUUGGGCAGUGAGGAGCUUUUGUGAUAGCAAAUUAUUUCUUGUAGAUAUAUCCCCCCCUUCACUUUUUAUUGGAUAUAGAAAACACAUUUAGAAAAAGACAUUCAUUGCUUGAUACUCUCUGAAUAAUCAAAUUGUGGAAGUGUAUACCAGAAAUUGAUGUAAUUAUUUUUAUGAUUGGUACUAUUGACGUUGUUGCUUGUCUUUCUUCAACUAUCAUUUGUUUAUAUGUAUAUAUUCUCUUUAUUUUUCCUUUUUUUUGCCAUUGACAUUUUCAUACUGUUAGGGAAACUGUUGUCAUUUUCAAUACUGAUGUUACAUCAAAUUGAGAUUCAUAACAUUUGAAGAAACAAAUCUGGCUGUUACUGAGAGCUCGAGUCCAGGGGGUUUAUGUGAUUUGUAAGGAACUUCUUCUACUCUGCUUUUCACUCAUGUAUCCAGUCUUGGUUAAAGGAAAAAAAAAACAGUAUAAUAGACUUUGUCCUGGCAUGUCAGAGGCUUCUGCAGUGUUUCUGUUUUAUUUAUUCUUUGCUUAUUUCUUGUUUUCUUUUCUUUUGCAAGGUUGUAGAUGCUUAAUAUCUUUUCUAAUGAUUGUGAUGGCUUGGGUUGAUGCAGAUGUCAGACCUGAAUUUCAUAGUUAAAUGCUGGAAAAGGACAUAUUAGUCGAGGAAUAACUUGAGUUAGAAAUCAAACCAGAGCACUUUGCUAAUUGCUCUUCAACGAUGGCAAGCGACAUAUUCAGUAGACACACUGUUGUAACUUCAAAGGGAGGAAGGUUUAUUAUAUAUAUAUAUAUUACUUUUGUAUAUUUUGGUCUAAUUUUGAAUAAUUUUCUUAUUACUACCAUAUUCAUGUCAAUCUUGUUUACUCUUCAUUUAUCUCUGUCCAGUUAUGGAAACAACUAAUAUGAACGUGACAGCUAAUAUUUCUGCUUCAUAUUUAUCAUUAAUAUUGUUGAUUUAACUGGACAACUAAAUAAACUCAGCCUUACAGGGGUGUGAGGCCUUGCGAAGGGUUCUUGGUGUAAAUUUUCUGUAUCAUAAUAUACCAAGUAAAAAAAAAAAAAAAGAAAAAAAAUGGAUUGAAUUAUUUAUUUUAUUACUGUAGAUAAAUGCUGCUCAUGAUGCAUUUUUAUUUUUAUUUUUUCUUAUCUAAAAGUAGAUCCAAAUUUUCCAAGGUUACAUCUCCCAAACCAAGUAUCAUUAUUCUGUACUCUUGAGAGAGUAUUUUGUAUCUAUUAUAAUUUUAUAUUGUAAAUAUAGUGAUGCCAAAAUCAAAUUUUAUGUACAAUUAUAAGGUAUGAUUGAGCUUUAUUUUUGUUGCCAUAUCUUUACUCUUUUAUGUUUUAUGAAUGCUGCUUCCAUACGUUUGUCUUGUUGAUAUUUAUUAUUAAAAUAUUAUAUUUGAAAUGUCUUGCAUAGAGAAAAAAGAUAAUUCGUUGACCCUGUUUCACAUAUGGUCCCCCAAUCCCCACCCUCCCAAUGAUAGCCAUUGAUAGGUUUUGUCUAAUCAUGGCUUUUUGAAAUAUAUUGCCUGUUAAGUGUGUGAGUUGUUUCCCAUAUGACAAUGUUAAUUACAGGCGACAAUAACAGCAUUCACGCUCAUGUGUUUUCACUCUCAAUCUUACUAGCUCCACGGAGGCUACAAAACACAGGACUUAACCCAGUUCAUGUUUAUGGGAUAAAACAUUCUUAAUGGAGAUCAAAACCACUUUGAAAAUAUUUAUGUGUAACAUUGUAUACAUGAUACAUUACGAACUUAAUCCUCUUAAGAGCAUUUGCUGCUGUUUCAGUGGGAUGUAGCAAAAAUCCAUCCCUGUACCUUUUUAAUGCAUAUAAUGAAGAGCUCAAGCCUAUUAUUCCCAGUUCAAGUUAAUAAGGGACUUCAUGAUCUUGACUAGUACACACUCUACAGUAUGGAAGUUAUAGCUUUAUUUCUGUUACCUUUCUGGGGAACCAUUUUGGGUUAGAUGGAUGUUCUUUGUUAGAGAUGCUAUCAUGCUGCUGUUAUGGAGAAGCAGAAGAUAUAUUAUCUGAUUGAAAUUAUCAGUCAUUAUGUGUCAUGGAAUCUAGAUCAUCUUAGGCAUUACAUAAUCACCUUGGCCUCAUGCUAUAAAAAUGAAUAAAUAAAUAUACAAACAGGA
This is a non-coding RNA of Penaeus vannamei (Pacific white shrimp), 4878 nucleotides long. The record is from RefSeq and is a predicted model, not a curated record. Lineage: Eukaryota; Metazoa; Arthropoda; Malacostraca; Decapoda; Penaeidae.